This 701-nucleotide ribosomal RNA is filed under the name uncultured bacterium. RNAcentral's name for it is "bacterial SSU rRNA". It matches the Rfam family "Bacterial small subunit ribosomal RNA", at positions 94 to 792 of the family's 1533-position model. The record is from RNAcentral.
ACCGGCGCACGGGUGAGUAACACGUAUGCAACCUGUCCGGUACAGGGGGAUAAGCGGCGGAAACGCCGUCUAAUACCGCGUGACAACCCGAGGGGGCAUCCCCUUGGGUUCAAAGGAGAGAUCCGGUACCGGCUGGGCAUGCGGCGCAUUAGCUAGUUGGCGGGGCAACGGCCCACCAAGGCGACGAUGCGUAGGGGUUCUGAGAGGAAGGUCCCCCACACUGGUACUGAGACACGGACCAGACUCCUACGGGAGGCAGCAGUGAGGAAUAUUGGUCAAUGGCCGCAGGGCUGAACCAGCCAAGUCGCGUGAGGGAUGACGGUCCUAUGGAUUGUAAACCUCGUUUGUCAGGGAGCAAAGGGCGCCACGUGUGGCGCUUUGCGAGUACCUGAAGAAAAAGCAUCGGCUAACUCCGUGCCAGCAGCCGCGGUAAUACGGAGGAUGCGAGCGUUAUCCGGAUUUAUUGGGUUUAAAGGGUGCGCAGGCGGAAGAUCAAGUCAGCGGUAAAAUUGAGAGGCUCAACCUCUUCGAGCCGUUGAAACUGGUUUUCUUGAGUGAGCGAGAAGUAUGCGGAAUGCGUGGUGUAGCGGUGAAAUGCAUAGAUAUCACGCANAACUCCGAUUGCGAAGGCAGCAUACCGGCGCUCAACUGACGCUCAUGCACGAAAGUGUGGGUAUCGAACAGGAUUAGAUACCCUGGUA